UCAGUUCGGAUUGAGGCUGAAACCCGCCUCCAUGAAGUUGGAUUCGCUAGUAAUCGCGCAUCAGCCAUGGCGCGGUGAAUACGUUCCCGGGCCUUGUACACACCGCCCGUCAAGCCAUGGGAGCCGGGGGUGCCUGAAGUUCGUGACCGUCACAGGAGCGACCUAAGGCAAGACCGAUGACUGGGGCUAAGUCGUAACAAGGUAUC
RNAcentral lists this ribosomal RNA (206 nucleotides) under uncultured bacterium. RNAcentral's name for it is "partial 16S ribosomal RNA". It matches the Rfam family "Bacterial small subunit ribosomal RNA", at positions 1288 to 1500 of the family's 1533-position model. The record is from RNAcentral.